GACGAACGCUGGCGGCGUGCUUAACACAUGCCAGUCGAACGGAAAGGCCCUGCUUUUGUGGGGUGCUCGAGUGGCGAACGGGUGAGUAACACGUGAGUAGCCUGCCCUUGACUUUGGGAUAACUUCAGGAAACUGGGGCUAAUACCGGAUAGGAGCUCCUGCUGCAUGGUGGGGGUUGGAAAGUUUCGGCGGUUGGGGAUGGACUCGCGGCUUAUCAGCUUGUUGGUGGGGUAGUGGCUUACCAAGGCUUUGACGGGUAGCCGGCCUGAGAGGGUGACCGGCCACAUUGGGACUGAGAUACGGCACAGACUCCUACGGGAGGCAGCAGUGGGGAAUAUUGCACAAUGGGCGGAAGCCUGAUGCAGCAACGCCGCGUGCGGGAUGACGGCCUUCGGGUUGUAAACCGCUUUCGCCUGUGACGAAGCGUGAGUGACGGUAAUGGGUAAAGAAGCACCGGCUAACUACGUG
RNAcentral lists this ribosomal RNA (468 nucleotides) under uncultured bacterium. RNAcentral's name for it is "partial 16S ribosomal RNA". It matches the Rfam family "Bacterial small subunit ribosomal RNA", at positions 28 to 507 of the family's 1533-position model. The record is from RNAcentral.